RNAcentral lists this ribosomal RNA (1007 nucleotides) under Enterococcus hirae. RNAcentral describes it as "bacterial SSU rRNA". It matches the Rfam family "Bacterial small subunit ribosomal RNA", at positions 66 to 1043 of the family's 1533-position model. The record is from RNAcentral. Lineage: Bacteria; Bacillati; Bacillota; Bacilli; Lactobacillales; Enterococcaceae.
ACGCUUCUUUUUCCACCGGAGCUUGCUCCACCGGAAAAAGAGGAGUGGCGAACGGGUGAGUAACACGUGGGUAACCUGCCCAUCAGAAGGGGAUAACACUUGGAAACAGGUGCUAAUACCGUAUAACAAUCGAAACCGCAUGGUUUUGAUUUGAAAGGCGCUUUCGGGUGUCGCUGAUGGAUGGACCCGCGGUGCAUUAGCUAGUUGGUGAGGUAACGGCUCACCAAGGCGACGAUGCAUAGCCGACCUGAGAGGGUGAUCGGCCACAUUGGGACUGAGACACGGCCCAAACUCCUACGGGAGGCAGCAGUAGGGAAUCUUCGGCAAUGGACGAAAGUCUGACCGAGCAACGCCGCGUGAGUGAAGAAGGUUUUCGGAUCGUAAAACUCUGUUGUUAGAGAAGAACAAGGAUGAGAGUAACUGUUCAUCCCUUGACGGUAUCUAACCAGAAAGCCACGGCUAACUACGUGCCAGCAGCCGCGGUAAUACGUAGGUGGCAAGCGUUGUCCGGAUUUAUUGGGCGUAAAGCGAGCGCAGGCGGUUUCUUAAGUCUGAUGUGAAAGCCCCCGGCUCAACCGGGGAGGGUCAUUGGAAACUGGGAGACUUGAGUGCAGAAGAGGAGAGUGGAAUUCCAUGUGUAGCGGUGAAAUGCGUAGAUAUAUGGAGGAACACCAGUGGCGAAGGCGGCUCUCUGGUCUGUAACUGACGCUGAGGCUCGAAAGCGUGGGGAGCAAACAGGAUUAGAUACCCUGGUAGUCCACGCCGUAAACGAUGAGUGCUAAGUGUUGGAGGGUUUCCGCCCUUCAGUGCUGCAGCUAACGCAUUAAGCACUCCGCCUGGGGAGUACGACCGCAAGGUUGAAACUCAAAGGAAUUGACGGGGGCCCGCACAAGCGGUGGAGCAUGUGGUUUAAUUCGAAGCAACGCGAAGAACCUUACCAGGUCUUGACAUCCUUUGACCACUCUAGAGAUAGAGCUUCCCCUUCGGGGGCAAAGUGACAGGUGGUG